Myotis daubentonii (Daubenton's bat) is the source of this 3054-nucleotide long non-coding RNA. RefSeq lists it as uncharacterized. NCBI's taxonomy places the organism in Eukaryota, Metazoa, Chordata, Mammalia, Chiroptera, Vespertilionidae. The record is from RefSeq and is a predicted model, not a curated record.
CACUAUUUAAAACUUUCAGGAGAUACAUAACAGAUUUAGAAAUACUUCUAAUUUCUUAAUUCACAUUUAUUCUUUUCACAACUCAAAAGCUGAAAAUCUGUCAUUUUAAAUAACAUUGCAAAAGUGAGGCCAAAAAUAAGAAUGAUAUUGUACACGGAAAGACAAACAUUCAAACCAAAAUUAUCAUCGAUUUGUCUGAGGACUGGCCAAUAUUUUCCUUUUUAUUUUUCAUAAUAAUUUUCAUAGUUAUUUUUCAAAAUUCCUAAAACAAUAUUGUGGUUACUUCUUACUAAGUGUUCAUUAUUGUAGGGAGCGGUUAUAGGGUUAAGCCUCAGACUGACCUGUGGCAGGGCCACAAACAAGUCCCAGCUUGGAGGGCAGAGCCUUCCGAGCAUAAUUAAGCUUGACCUUAUAGCCCUCCCUAGUUCCUUCCUAGGUAGCUAAUGGGCUGUGGGAGGUGCAGCAAGUGCUGCCAAAAUAAGGUGAAACUCGCAAGAACGUUGUAAACAUGUUGACCACUUCCCUUGUUUUGCUUUGUGUGCUCUGACUAUAAAAUAGAGCUUCGGCUUGCAGGCUGUGUCUCUCUGUGUCCUCAUCCAGGCACAAGAGAUCCAUAUAGCCCCAGCUGUAUUCUCUUGUCUGUCUUCUUUAAUCCUUCACCGCUGGCCAUGCUGGACGCAGUUCAUGUGGCGCCCACCAGGGGCCCUGAGGCCUGGGUACGGGAAACUACAAUUGCAAGGUGAAAGGACGCUCCAGUAAAGCGCGCACACAAAGCAAAAAGUAAGGUGUUUGUGGACCCCUCACGGAUGUCUCGGCCUCCUAAAGACAAGUGUGUUUUACAAACCCCUAUCAGCCCUCACAGAACUGACUUGGGCCGCGUAGAGAUGGGGAGAAAGAUGGAUCCUGAUUGUGAGCUUUCAGUAUGUGCUUUACACAUUGGGAGUGUGCCUGGCUGGCAGAUGAACUGAUACGGCUUCCUUUUAUUAAGGAAAUUACUGUUUCCAUACAUGGAAAUAUUAGUCACUCUGCACUUAUUCUUUGAAGGGGAUAAGGAUCUUUUACCGGGUCCCCUUGGAAAUUAAAGCCAUCUAGAAUAAUAAAAGCGGGGGGAGGGAGGCACCUAAGGUGUAUUUCUUUAUAAGAACCUCUAUCCUGAAUUUAGCUUAUCAUACCAGCACCACCAUGCCAGCCUGGCCCCAUCAGACAUGUCCUUAUUAACACUAAGGGGAAAUUUGGGGGUGCCAAACAAAUUGCAUGCUAAGGCACUUCAUGACUAUGUAAUCUUUAUUCCUAAACUCCUAAAUAGAUAGCUAAAAACCUGAGUGUGUGCAUAAAGACAAGGAAGUUAUCUUAAUGCGGAUAAUAACUCAGAGAUAAAAUUAGGUUGAGAAGUCAAAGCACUUUAAGGAUAAAUUUAGAGAAGAUACAUUUUUGUUGCUAGAAAAGGAAAAGCAUGAAGCAUCCCAGUGAAGAUAUUCCAGAGGCAGCUCACAGUUAUCAGAUGAAUUUGAUUGACAUUUAUAAGAAGACUUGAGGUAUAAGAGCUCAAUUAUAAUGCAACUCUCUUUGAAGUUUCUACUUUCUCUCCCUUCCCCUCCCCUCCCUCCCUCCUAAAAGCCCUCAUUAGUCAUUCCUCUGCUCUCUAAGACUGAUGGGCACAAUUACUGACUCAGGCAGCUUCUGCAGAGUGCCGAGAAACAAGUUAAAUUAAUGAAAAUAAAAUAAAAUAAAAAACAAGUUUUAUGAAGGGGAGAAAAUCAAUAUUGUUAUCUAAAAUGGAUAGUGAACUGUAUAGCCCAACUUCUCCUUGGAAAUAAAGCAAGAAAGGAGGACUGAGCUAAAAAUACACUGCCUGAAAGUGACAGUGUUCCUUUGUACCUCCUCCCCUAACUCAGUACAGCUAUCCCCCGAUCAAUCCCGCUCCGAGCUCAGCUCCAUUGCAGGUGGUAUCUGCUAUUUUGCUGUCAUCGCCCAGCAUGUUUAAUUCAGAUGUUAGCCUGGAAAUUCACUGUGACCAGUCAAAUGGAACUUCGGCUGCUGAGCACUGACCCAUAUGCUCGUCUUCUAGUUCUUACUGUUUCCUGAUGAGGCCACGCAGAGCUCGGGUGGCUCCAAGUACAAGGAAACUGAGGGCCGUGCCUCCUAUCCUCGUGUUCUUCUUAGAAUAAACUCGAGAUGAGGAGUAACUCAGAGGUACUACUUACCUUUCCCUCACACCUGCAUCUUUCUUCUCUGAAACCCUUACUGUCUCAGAUGAACUCCUUUGGAGGAGAAAAGGGGGUGGGGGAAGUUGCUGGCUAAGAGAAGCCUGAUAUAAAGGGGGGUGGGGAGGGGUGAGAGUGAGAGGGAUUAAUUUCAAGUCUACUAAAAAAUGACUCCUCCCUGCAUUUACAGCCAGUACAAGCAUGCUGGUUAAAAUCCAAUUUAAUUCAUUCAUCACCUAAAUGUCCAUUGAAAUCAAAGAGUAAGAAUUACAGGGGCCUAAGAAAGAUUUGAGUCUGGCCCAAACUCCUCUUUUGGAGUUGAGGAAGAUAAACCCCAAGAGGGGACACUGACCAGCCCAGGAAUUUAGGGUCCGGGACCUCUCAGGGGGCCUAGCAGGAACGUACACUCCGGAGGACACGUCUCUGUGUGCGUUUUGCGGUAGAAGUAACACUACUCUAUGGUGGGCUUUCUAAAAUAAGAAUGCGGAGUGUGUUCCUACCUCCUUCGUGGAUGGUGUCAACCCCUCAAGGGGAAACUGCCGCCACAGGAGAUGUCCAGCUUUAAGGGAAUCUGCAUUGUUCUUAACCUAACAAGCAUGUCCUUCCACACCAUUCCGCACCGAAAUAAACUCACACACAAGUCAGGGACGAACUCUCCUAUAACUUGAACCACUGCGCACGGGCCACCCGAGAGGGCGUCCACGCGACACCACCAGAGCUUCAAUUCCGCCGGCGAAGAGAACAGAACACGCUGCCUCCUUUUAUGAUUUGCUGCAGUUGCUUUUUUUUUCCUUUCUGUAUUUUAUCAUUUAAGAAAAAACACAGCAGCAAGUUCUGUGUUGACUUCAGA